Molecule: long non-coding RNA, 2037 nt
Filed under: Chinchilla lanigera (long-tailed chinchilla)
Lineage: Eukaryota; Metazoa; Chordata; Mammalia; Rodentia; Chinchillidae
Description: lncRNA (ENSCLAG00000022495.1)
Source: RNAcentral
GGGAAAUGGAGCCAGGGGAAGAAAGGGCUGGAGAGAGCCUGGGAGGUGGGCACUGCCACCCGGGAAGGGGCCAAGGCUGGGGGCUCCUCCCCUGCCCUCCCGGGGAGGGGUCUGGUGGGACGGGGGUGGAAUGCCUGCUGCCCCAACGUCUAAUUAAAUGGCAGCAAUUUUGACGUGGCAGGUGAUAGGCUCGGGAAGCCUGGCUUUAAAUUUAGCUUCCUCCCCAGCCAGCCCUUUGAAAAGGCUGCACUCGCGGAGAGAGAGCAUGAGUCAUCCCAGGCGGCCCGGUGAGCCAGGGUUUGCGGGGGAGCAGGCCUCCCGGAGGCAGCGACAUAGUAAAUAAGAACGGGGGAUGAUAGCAGGGGACGCAGAGCAUGGCGGCCGAGAGCCCGGCUGGGGGAGCCGCCUGCGUGAGCUGAGACCUCCCAGCCCAUCCCCAGGCCAGGAGGCCCGACCGGAUUUGUGGGUCUGUGUGCGACCGUGAUGUGGGUGCGUUCAGGAUCAGCUCGCCCUCCCGGCACCCGCAGCCUGCUCGGGCCGCCGGCUCCCGCAGAUGCCCCGCCCCUCGGGAGGCCACGUCCGCAUCCCUGGACUCUAUGAGCACGGCCUUAUACGGCAGGCAGGGGAAAGGCCCGUGCAGACGGACGGAGGCAAGGACAUGGACAUGAGAGGAGGAUCCUGGGUGCCCUCAGUGCCUCCCCACCUGCUUCCAUCAUGUGCGGCUUCCACUAGAGGAGGGCAUGUGGAUUGCGAGGGUCAAGACGCUGGCCUUGAGCCCUACAGUGAUGCGGCCGCAAGCCAAGGAUGCCACAGCUACCAGGAGCUGGAUGGAGGGAAGGCUCCUCCCUCUGGCAGAGCAGGAGGCGAGGCCCCUGGAGGAGCUCUAAGUGUGGCUUCAGCGACAGCACCGCCCUGUGGGCCCUGGUUGGGCAGCCCGGGUCUCCAAGUUGUGUCCUUACACUUUCGAAACUCGGCUCUCUCCAGCUGCUGGACAAACAGGCGCAGGUGUCUGUCACUGGGCACCGGAGAGGUGCGGGGUCAGGCACGCCUGGGCCUUGACUCUGCCCCUGCCCUCUGUGUGGCUCAGAGCAGUGUCCUGCCCUCUUUGAGCCCCGGUCGCCCGUCUGUAAGGUGGAAAGGACACCGCCCAGCGCUGCAGCCAGGAACAAAUACAGCCUUUGAAGGGCUCCGCCAAUCUGCCUGCGAGGUUCAACCAAAGUCUAUAAAAAUAAAACCAGACCCAACAUGCAGGAGACUCGCGCAGUGCACGCAGCGCGAGGUGGAACUGGGGCCUGCACCUUUGGACACUAGAGCCCUCUCCCCUCGCAAAUGACACAGGGGCCUGCGGGGUCCCGUCCUCAAGCAGAGCAAGGUGGGGAACAGGGCGGCUGGUGGCUGGUGCAGCCUCCUCCUGCAGGCAUGGGGGUCUGACAAAAAAGAGGGGGUGUGGGAGGGAGGGCAGGGAGGUGGGGCGCUCCCCAGAGGGCAGCUGGACAGAGGCCCUGUGGGAAGGGAAGGGUCCUCCAGUCCAGCCUGACCCUGACCUUGACCACCUGGGUGGAGCUGGGGUAGGGGCGGGGCCUCGGGGCUCCCAGGCGUCGCCGGCCGGAGCCGUGGGGAGAGGCAGGUGAGUGCUGGGGACCGGAGACCCGGAGCCCAAGGCUGGGCUGGGAGGGGAGCAGGAGAGAAAAAGGAGGCGACAGGAACAAAGGAAGAAGCAAGAAGGGAAGAGGAAGGAAGGGAAGAAGGGGAGGGGAAGGAAGAAGGGAGGGAGGGCGGGGAGAGGAAAAAAGUGGAGAAGGAAGGAAACGAACUAGUGAAAGGGAGGCGAGGAGGGCGAAAUGCGAACGAGAAGCGGAAGGGAGAGCGAAGGCUCGCACCGGUCGCGAAGAAAACCCGGGGAGCAACCCGAAGGAGGAGGGAGAAAGGGCGAGGGAGGAAAAGAGAUUGCGAAAGAAAACCCAGAGGAGAGCGAGCGCGGAGGGCGAGCGCGAGAGGAGCGAGCGCAGGGGAGGAGCGGCGCGCGCGGGGGCCGCG